UACGUAUGGUGCAAGCGUUAUCCGGAUUUACUGGGUGUAAAGGGAGCGUAGACGGCUGUGCAAGUCUGAAGUGAAAGCCCGGGGCUCAACCCCGGGACUGCUUUGGAAACUGUGCAGCUGGAGUGCCGGAGAGGUAAGCGGAAUUCCUAGUGUAGCGGUGAAAUGCGUAGAUAUUAGGAGGAACACCAGUGGCGAAGGCGGCUUACUGGACGGUAACUGACGUUGAGGCUCGAAAGCGUGGGGAGCAAACAGGAUUAGAUACCCUGGUAGUCCACGCCGUAAACGAUGACUACUAGGUGUCGGGCAGCAAAGCUGUUCGGUGCCGCAGCAAACGCAAUAAGUAGUCCACCUGGGGAGUACGUUCGCAAGAAUGAA
Molecule: ribosomal RNA, 375 nt
Filed under: uncultured bacterium
Lineage: Bacteria
Description: bacterial SSU rRNA
Rfam family: Bacterial small subunit ribosomal RNA
Source: RNAcentral